Molecule: long non-coding RNA, 1594 nt
Organism: Brachypodium distachyon (stiff brome)
Lineage: Eukaryota; Viridiplantae; Streptophyta; Magnoliopsida; Poales; Poaceae
Exons: 3
Source: RefSeq, a predicted model, not a curated record
GAUAGGUCAGAUGGGCCUUGGCCCGCAGCCGAACUGCAGAAAACUCCUCUCUCGACGUGCUGCUCCGACGCCCCUUCUCCUUCCCUUCGGCUGCGCGCCGCCCCUCCUCCGUCCCAUCAGACCGAGCGCCGCCCUCCUCCUUCCCCUCCGCCGCACGCCACCCUCCUCUCCCCUUCGUGCGAUGUAGCCCGAGGUGGACCCAAGGACGUCGGUGGGCUCUUCCGGCAGUUGGAGAACGGCGGAGGAAUUGGUCUUGCGGCGUGGGGAAGACGAUGGCGACGGCUCCGGAUGCAAGGGCAACCAAACAGGAGGCUGCAGCGAUUGCUCGCACCCGCCGCGCCUGGAUCCCGCGUGCUGCAGCCCUGCUGUGAUGCAGCCUGCGAACACGCCCAGAGUUUCCGCAGUUGGUAUUUGCAGUCCAAAUUUUUGUUUUGGAAGAGUUGUGCCCAAAUCUUUUUACUCCCUCCGUCCAACAAAAGAUGUCUCAAGUUUAUCAAAAAUUAAAUGUAUCUAGACAUGACUUAGUGUACAAAUACAUUCAAAUUUAGUUAAAGUUGAGACAUCUUUUGUUGGACGGAGGAAUACUUGUUUUAGUAUCUUUAUUGGAACUGGGAUUGAAAGUUUGAAGAGGAGCACCACUUGCCAACGAAAAUUUUAAUGUUUCACAUACCUCUUAUAUUAGCCAAAUAACUGGUGUCGUGAUUUUCUAACUUGCUAAUCAUCACGAAAAAUCAAAACAACUUUGGAUCAUUGUAUAAUAUCAAGAGUAUCGAGUUCCAAUCAGGACAGUAGAUCAGAAGCACUUCAUUUCUACUAAAACCCUAUGAAGAACGGUGGCUCGUUAUUUGCAGCCUCUUCUUGUUGCAUCUCAACCAAACGGAGGCAGAAUAAUGGUCGCCUGCAGCAUCUAAUGUGUGUGUGUGUGUUUUAGCACAGUCGCACAGACACAGUCCAGUUAAAAUAGCGAGCUGAGCCUGAGCAGGAACGUGUUCGGCGCAGCGCUUAGCAAAAUGCUCUCCCGAUUUUGGGCCAAGCCCGUUACAACUUGCCGGCUGCAAAUUUAGGAAACUGCUCUCUCGAGUAGACCUUCGCCGGCCCAUCCAUGAACACCCGUUCCUGGCUUCCUGCCCAGGUUCAGCUCGCCGCCGGUGCUUCUCCCCCUUUGCCUCUGCCGCCGCCGGUGUCGGCCUCCACCACCAUCGCCGCUGUUGCCCUCGGUAUGAGUUAUCAUAUGAACUGGGAAACGAUAAUGAGGAGAAAAAGGAAACGAAUGUGAGACCAUAAGAUGGGCUAUGGAAAGAGAUCUAUAAUAAGAUGCCGAUUUGCAUAACUGCUGUUGACAUCAGGACCAGAUGAAGAGUAACUACAGUUCAGGCCAUCCCACGCAAAUGCUUUCGGUGCACAAGGAUCACCUAUCCAGUUUUUCUUCAGCACAUAUGUCUUGCGAAUUUUCAUCAUGGACUCGGCUGUUCACACGGAAAAAGACAAGGUAUUUAUGAAAUCUUGCUUUAUGCUAUCCAAACAAAUAAUUCAAAACUUGUCCUGAACUUGACCCAAAUUAAGAUCAAUGACAAUGGCACACUGGAUUUAAGUG